RNAcentral lists this ribosomal RNA (434 nucleotides) under uncultured bacterium. Its description in RNAcentral is "partial 16S ribosomal RNA". It matches the Rfam family "Bacterial small subunit ribosomal RNA", at positions 29 to 508 of the family's 1533-position model. The record is from RNAcentral.
AACGAACGCUGGCGGCAUGCCUAACACAUGCAAGUCGAACGAGCCCUUCGGGACUUGUGGCGCACGGCUGCGUAACGCGUGGGAACCUGCCCUUAUGUUCGGCAUAACUCCCCGAAAGGGGUGCUAAUACCGGAUAAUGUCUUCGGACCAAAGAUUUAUCGCCUUUGGUUGGGCCCGCGUUGGAUUAGCUAGUUGGUAGGGUAAAAGCCAACCAAGGCGACGAUCCGUAGCUGGUGUAAGAGGAUGAUCAGCCACCCUGGGAGGGAGACACGGCCCGGGCACCUACGGCAGGGGGCAGUGGGGAAAAUGAGACAAGGGGCGAAAGUCAGAACGAGCAAUGGAGCGUGAGUGACGAAGACCUGAGGGUUAUAAAGGUCUUUUAACCGGGACGAUAAUGACAGUACCGGGAGAAGAAGCUCCUGCUAAAUCCCGGC